AAACAUUCCUGUUGGUGGAGGCUCAAGGAAGAACAAAAGACCUUCUUCUUCAUCAUCAUCUACAUCUCCCACACCUUCUUCAUCUCAACCUAUUCCCAAGAAAAUUCUUGAUCUCCCUCAAAACCCUAAAUCCACCCAAGAUCUCAACUUGUUCUUCCCACCCUCGAACCAUCAAGAUCAUCAUCAUUUCAUCACCAAUAGCCACCCCGAAAUCGUUGCCCCUGCGAUUGCCAGUUCCUCAUCAGCCUCUACUGUUGCGACGGCGGCGGUGUCGUCGUCGCCUUCGGCCCCAUCGCAUCAUCAUCCGCUUUCGGCAAUGGAGCUUCUCGCCGGGAUGGCGA
Molecule: unclassified non-coding RNA, 341 nt
Filed under: Hevea brasiliensis (rubber tree)
Lineage: Eukaryota; Viridiplantae; Streptophyta; Magnoliopsida; Malpighiales; Euphorbiaceae
Source: RNAcentral